This 91-nucleotide transfer RNA is filed under the name Streptomyces sp. SID69. Its description in RNAcentral is "tRNA-Cys". It matches the Rfam family "tRNA". From Rfam's summary of the family: Transfer RNA (tRNA) molecules are approximately 80 nucleotides in length. Their secondary structure includes four short double-helical elements and three loops (D, anti-codon, and T loops). Lineage: Bacteria; Bacillati; Actinomycetota; Actinomycetes; Kitasatosporales; Streptomycetaceae. The record is from RNAcentral. RNAcentral also lists the same sequence under 1 other name.
GGAGAGGUGCCCGGAGUGGCCGAUCGGGGACCACGUGCACGCUGGUCGGGCCCAACAGCCCACGCAGGUUCAAAUCCUGCCCUCUCCGCCA